UACGAAGGGGGCUAGCGUUGCUCGGAAUCACUGGGCGUAAAGGGUGCGUAGGCGGGUUUUUAAGUCAGAGGUGAAAUCCUGGAGCUCAACUCCAGAACUGCCUUUGAUACUGAAAGUCUUGAGUAUGGGAGAGGUGAGUGGAACUGCGAGUGUAGAGGUGAAAUUCGUAGAUAUUCGCAAGAACACCAGUGGCGAAGGCGGCUCACUGGCCCAUUACUGACGCUGAGGCACGAAAGCGUGGGAGCAAACAGGG
Molecule: ribosomal RNA, 253 nt
Filed under: uncultured bacterium
Lineage: Bacteria
Description: partial 16S ribosomal RNA
Rfam family: Bacterial small subunit ribosomal RNA
Source: RNAcentral